UACGUAGGGUGCAAGCGUUGUCCGGAAUUAUUGGGCGUAAAGAGCUCGUAGGCGGUUUGUCGCGUCUGCUGUGAAAACUCGGGGCUUAACUCCGGGCCUGCAGUGGGUACGGGCAGACUAGAGUGUGGUAGGGGAGACUGGAAUUCCUGGUGUAGCGGUGAAAUGCGCAGAUAUCAGGAGGAACACCGGUGGCGAAGGCGGGUCUCUGGGCCAUAACUGACGCUGAGGAGCGAAAGCGUGGGGAGCAAACAGG
Molecule: ribosomal RNA, 253 nt
Filed under: uncultured bacterium
Lineage: Bacteria
Description: partial 16S ribosomal RNA
Rfam family: Bacterial small subunit ribosomal RNA
Source: RNAcentral